GCGUUGUUCGGAAUUACUGGGCGUAAAGAGCUCGUAGCGGUUCAACAAGUCGGUCGUGAAAGUUCAGGGCUCAACCCUGAAAUGUCGAUCGAUACUGUUGUGACUAGGAUACGGCAGAGGUGAGUGGAAUUCCGAGUGUAGAGGUGAAAUUCGUAGAUAUUCGGGGGAACACCAGUGGCGAAGGCGGCUCACUGGCUCGAUACUGACGCUGAGGUACGAAAGUGUGGGGAGCAAACAGGAUUAGAUACCCCUGUAGUCCUGGCCGUAAACGAUGAACACUAGGUGUCGGGGGAAUCGACCCCCUCGGUGUCGUAGCCAACGCGUUAAGUGUUCCGCCUGGGGAGUACGCACGCAAGUGUGAAACUCAAAGGAAUUGACGGGGGCCCGCACAAGCGGUGGAGCAUGUGGUUUAAUUCGAAGCAACGCGCAGAACCUUACCAGUCCUUGACAUGGGGAGUUUGGUUUCCAGAGAUGGAUUCCUUCAGUUCGGCUGGCUCCCACACAGGUGCUGCAUGGCU
RNAcentral lists this ribosomal RNA (518 nucleotides) under uncultured bacterium. RNAcentral's name for it is "bacterial SSU rRNA". It matches the Rfam family "Bacterial small subunit ribosomal RNA", at positions 538 to 1050 of the family's 1533-position model. The record is from RNAcentral.